UUCCGGUUGAUCCUGCCGGACCUGACUGCUAUCGGAUUGAUACUAAGCCAUGCGAGUCAUUGUAGCAAUACAAGGCAUACGGCUCAGUAACGCGUAGUCAACCUAACCUAUGGACGGGAAUAACCUCGGGAAACUGAGAAUAAUGCCCGAUAGAACAUUAUGCCUGGAAUGGUUUAUGUUCCAAAUGAUUUAUCGCCGUAGGAUGGGACUGCGGCCUAUCAGUUUGUUGGUGAGGUAAUGGCCCACCAAGACUAUUACAGGUACGGGCUCUGAGAGGAGUAGCCCGGAGAUGGGUACUGAGACACGGACCCAGGCCCUAUGGGGCGCAGCAGGCGAGAAAACUUUGCAAUGUGCGAAAGCACGACAAGGUUAAUCCGAGUGGUUUCUGCUAAAGAAACCUUUUGUCAGUCCUAGAAACACUGAUGAAUAAGGGGUGGGCAAGUUCUGGUGUCAGCCGCCGCGGUAAAACCAGCACCUCAAGUGGUCAGGAUGAUUAUUGGGCCUAAAGCAUCCGUAACCCGCUCUGUAAGUUUUCGGUUAAAUCUUGUACGCUCAA
This 556-nucleotide ribosomal RNA is filed under the name uncultured marine crenarchaeote. RNAcentral's name for it is "bacterial SSU rRNA". It matches the Rfam family "Archaeal small subunit ribosomal RNA", at positions 1 to 562 of the family's 1478-position model. The record is from RNAcentral. Lineage: Archaea; Thermoproteati; Thermoproteota.